UAAGUAAGUGGUGGAAAUUAAACCAAAUGGGAUAUCUUUAGUAAUUGCGAAUGAACAAGGAUAUGCUUAGCUUGACAAAUGGAGCUAUUGGCUUUGAAUUGUAUUGUGGAAAUGUAUUACCAACAGAGGUGCAGGUGCCAGCCUAUUGAAAUAAAGCGUCAAUGAGGGUGAGAAUCCUGUUUGUCAUGUGCAGCCCUUUGUGCACGGUGUAUAUUUGCUGAGUCACACUCCUUGGCAUUGGAAUGCAAAGUGGGUGGUAAGUUUCAUGUAAAGGUAAACAUGCAAUUGAGACUGAUAGCACACAAGUACCAUGAGGGAAAUAUGAAAAGGACUUUGAAAAGAUAAUUAAAUGAGUUUGUAUUUGCUGAACACAAAGUAAACAGACUUGAUUUGCUUGGUGGGAGUGUUGCACUUGCUUGACAAGAGCUUUGGGCUGUGGGUGUAAUGAUUCUUUCUUUGCAUGCCAGUUUCUAUUUGUACAUCUGAUUACCUUUGCACAUGAAUGAUAAGUCUCCUGUGGGGGGUGGAUUGCAUGUGCAUGUAAUGAUUUGUGUUUUGAUAAAUGUGUCUGGUGUAUGUGUGUGUUCCUGUGCUUGGGGAUGCUUCCUUCCUUGGACUUACAAGCCCUGACACACACAUGCUGGCAAAAUGCUUCUGCUUGACCCG
This 666-nucleotide ribosomal RNA is filed under the name Alexandrium fundyense. Its description in RNAcentral is "LSU rRNA". It matches the Rfam family "Eukaryotic large subunit ribosomal RNA", at positions 43 to 651 of the family's 3401-position model. Lineage: Eukaryota; Dinophyceae; Gonyaulacales; Pyrocystaceae. The record is from RNAcentral.